GAGUCUACCUUGAGGAAAUCCCUAG
RNAcentral lists this non-coding RNA (25 nucleotides) under Mus musculus (house mouse). The record is from RNAcentral. Lineage: Eukaryota; Metazoa; Chordata; Mammalia; Rodentia; Muridae.